CCUACGGGGGGCAGCAGUGAGGAAUAUUGGUCAAUGGCCGGAAGGCUGAACCAGCCAAGCCGCGUGAAGGACGAAGGUGCCAAGCAUUGUAAACUUCUUUUGUCAAGGGACAAAAUCAGGCUCGAGAGCCUGACCGAGGGUACUUGAAGAAAAAGCAUCGGCUAACUCCGUGCCAGCAGCCGCGGUAAUACGGAGGAUGCGAGCGUUAUCCGGAUUUAUUGGGUUUAAAGGGUGCGUAGGCGGACUGGAAAGUCAGCGGUAAAAUCGAGAGGCUCAACCUCUUUCCGCCGUUGAAACUGUCGGUCUUGAGUGGGCGAGAAGUAUGCGGAAUGCGUGGUGUAGCGGUGAAAUGCAUAGAUAUCACGCAGAACUCCGAUUGCGAAGGCAGCGUGCCGUGCCGCCACUGACGCUGAGGCACGAAAGCGCGGGGAUCGAACAGGAUUAGAUACCCUUGUAGUC
Molecule: ribosomal RNA, 459 nt
Filed under: uncultured bacterium
Lineage: Bacteria
Description: partial 16S ribosomal RNA
Rfam family: Bacterial small subunit ribosomal RNA
Source: RNAcentral